UACGGAGGGUGCAAGCGUUACUCGGAAUUACUGGGCGUAAAGCGUGCGCAGGCGGUUUGUUAAGUCUGCUGUGAAAUCCCCGAGCUCAACUUGGGAAUUGCAGUGGAUACUGGCAAGCUGGAGUACGGUAGAGGAAGGUGGAAUUCCCGGUGUAGCAGUGAAAUGCGUAGAGAUCGGGAGGAACACCAGUGGCGAAGGCGGCCUUCUGGACCAGUACUGACGCUCAUGCACGAAAGCGUGGGGAGCAAACAGG
This 253-nucleotide ribosomal RNA is filed under the name uncultured bacterium. RNAcentral's name for it is "partial 16S ribosomal RNA". It matches the Rfam family "Bacterial small subunit ribosomal RNA", at positions 524 to 776 of the family's 1533-position model. The record is from RNAcentral.